CUACGGGGGGCUGCAGUGGGGAAUUUUGGACAAUGGGGGAAACCCUGAUCCAGCCAUGCCGCGUGAGUGAAGAAGGCCUUCGGGUUGUAAAGCUCUUUCGGCUGGGAAGAAAUCGCACAGGCUAAUACUCUGUGUGGAUGACGGUACCAGCAUAAGAAGCACCGGCUAACUACGUGCCAGCAGCCGCGGUAAUACGUAGGGUGCGAGCGUUAAUCGGAAUUACUGGGCGUAAAGCGUGCGCAGGCGGUUGUGCAAGACAGAUGGGAAAUCCCCGGGCUCAACCUGGGAACUGCAUUUGUGACUGCACGACUAGAGUACGGCAGAGGGGGGUAGAAUUCCACGUGUAGCAGUGAAAUGCGUAGAGAUGUGGAGGAAUACCGAUGGCGAAGGCAGCCCCCUGGGCCGAUACUGACGCUCAUGCACGAAAGCGUGGGGAGCAAACAGGAUUAGAUACCCUUGUAGUC
RNAcentral lists this ribosomal RNA (464 nucleotides) under uncultured bacterium. RNAcentral's name for it is "partial 16S ribosomal RNA". It matches the Rfam family "Bacterial small subunit ribosomal RNA", at positions 339 to 795 of the family's 1533-position model. The record is from RNAcentral.